This 77-nucleotide transfer RNA is filed under the name Escherichia coli. RNAcentral describes it as "tRNA-Pro". It matches the Rfam family "tRNA". From Rfam's summary of the family: Transfer RNA (tRNA) molecules are approximately 80 nucleotides in length. Their secondary structure includes four short double-helical elements and three loops (D, anti-codon, and T loops). The record is from RNAcentral. Lineage: Bacteria; Pseudomonadati; Pseudomonadota; Gammaproteobacteria; Enterobacterales; Enterobacteriaceae.
CGGCACGUAGCGCAGCCUGGUAGCGCACCGUCAUGGGGUGUCGGGGGUCGGAGGUUCGAAUCCUCUCUCGCCGACCA